RNAcentral lists this transfer RNA (29 nucleotides) under Panax ginseng (ginseng). RNAcentral describes it as "partial tRNA-Ser". RNAcentral also lists the same sequence under 3 other names. The record is from RNAcentral. Lineage: Eukaryota; Viridiplantae; Streptophyta; Magnoliopsida; Apiales; Araliaceae.
GGAGCUAUCAACCACUCAGCCAUCUCUCC